RNAcentral lists this ribosomal RNA (460 nucleotides) under uncultured bacterium. RNAcentral describes it as "bacterial SSU rRNA". It matches the Rfam family "Bacterial small subunit ribosomal RNA", at positions 29 to 534 of the family's 1533-position model. The record is from RNAcentral.
AACGAACGCUGGCGGCAUGCCUAACACAUGCAAGUCGAACGAGACCUUCGGGUCUAGUGGCGCACGGGUGCGUAACACGUGGGAAUUUGCCUCGGGGUAUGGAAUAACUCAGGGAAACUUGAGCUAAUACCAUAUAAUGUCUUCGGACCAAAGAUUUAUCGCCCUGAGAUAAGCCCGCGUAGGAUUAGCUAGUUGGUGGGGUAAAGGCUCACCAAGGCGACGAUCCUUAGCUGGUCUGAGAGGAUGAUCAGCCACACUGGGACUGAGACACGGCCCAGACUCCUACGGGAGGCAGCAGUGGGGAAUAUUGGACAAUGGGCGAAAGCCUGAUCCAGCAAUGCCGCGUGAGUGAUGAAGGCCUUAGGGUUGUAAAGCUCUUUACCCGUAGAUGAUAAUGACAGUAUCGGGAGAAUAAGCUCCGGCUAACUCCGUGCCAGCAGCCGCGGUAAAGUAGUCGUGU